Molecule: ribosomal RNA, 228 nt
Filed under: uncultured bacterium
Lineage: Bacteria
Description: partial 16S ribosomal RNA
Rfam family: Bacterial small subunit ribosomal RNA
Source: RNAcentral
CGUGUAGGCUGAUUCGUUAGUCGGGUGUGAAAUCCCUGGGCUCAACCUAGGAACUGCAUCCGAAACUGCGAGUCUUGAGUGUCGGAGAGGGAAGCGGAAUUCCUGGUGUAGAGGUGAAAUUCGUAGAUAUCAGGAGGAACACCGGUGGCGAAGGCGGCUUCCUGGACGAUUACUGACGCUGAGACGCGAAAGCGUGGGGAGCAAACAGGAUUAGAUACCCUGGUAGUC